AAUGAACGCUGGCGGCAUGCCUUACACAUGCAAGUCGAACGGCAGCAUGACCUAGCUUGCUAGGUUGAUGGCGAGUGGCGAACGGGUGAGUAAUGCAUCGGAACGUGCCUUUUAGUGGGGGAUAACGUAGCGAAAGUUACGCUAAUACCGCAUAUUCUCUGAGGAGGAAAGCAGGGGACCUUCGGGCCUUGCGCUACAAGAGCGGCCGAUGUCGGAUUAGCUAGUUGGUGAGGUAAAGGCUCACCAAGGCAACGAUCCGUAGCGGGUCUGAGAGGAUGAUCCGCCACACUGGGACUGAGACACGGCCCAGACUCCUACGGGAGGCAGCAGUGGGGAAUUUUGGACAAUGGGCGCAAGCCUGAUCCAGCCAUGCCGCGUGAGUGAAGAAGGCCUUCGGGUUGUAAAGCUCUUUCGGCUGGGAAGAAAUCGCACCCUCUAAUACAGGGUGUGGAUGACGGUACCAGCAGAAGAAGCACCGGCUAACUACGUG
RNAcentral lists this ribosomal RNA (490 nucleotides) under uncultured bacterium. Its description in RNAcentral is "partial 16S ribosomal RNA". It matches the Rfam family "Bacterial small subunit ribosomal RNA", at positions 29 to 507 of the family's 1533-position model. The record is from RNAcentral.